UUAUUAUUAUUAUUUAGUUGUAAUUACAUUUAUGGUGAUGUGCUCUUUUUCUUUUUUUUCUUUUUCUUUUCGUUUUUUUUAAAUCACAAGUGUAGUUUUAGGUUAAUGACAUCAGGAAAAAAAAAUCAAUCUCUUGCUAUUUACUUAAUUUCCGUAAUUCACAAUUUACCCUAGUUUUGUAAGCGAUUUAUUCACAUCGGUUGAGUAUAUUUGAUUUAGGACGAAAUUUUAUGUUCGUACUUUGAAAAAUUUCUUUUAUUCAAGUUUUAACGCAUUUUUUCUUUUUUUCCUUUACUAUCAUUUGGCUAACUCUCAUGUGUGAAAGUGGUGUUAAAGAGCAGAGAAAAAAGAAUCGAUACGAAUUUUUGCAUAUCCGUACCACUUUUCAUUAGGGAAAGAAUACCGGCGAAUCGUUCUUUUUUAAAAAAAAAUUCGCGAUUAAACAAUGAAUCGAAAGGAAAAAUGCGAGGAUUGAACUCUCGCAUCGAAGUAAAUAUAUAGAAGAAAUAUAAAAUAGAACCAACGUCUUCGAACGACAACGUCAAACAAUACAAAAAUGAAACAAUGAAAUUGUGUCGCGUCUCGAAUCGUUUUGCCCUCAAAAGUAUUUUGUCACGAGGGGACUUCGAAACGCGACAUCAUAUUAUCGAUAUAUAAUAAUAUCGUUUUAAAUUGAUCUUUCAUGCAAGAGAAUGAAAAUCAACAGUUCAUCAAUUUCAUACGAAGCACUGAUCAUUAUACAGGGACACAAAACACAGCCACACGAAACACUAUGUCGAUUAAUUAAUUAAGCCUUAAAUUUAGAAUUAAGUUGAAAGGUCUGAAGUGAAAUAAAGAUAGAAAGGAAAAGAAGGAGGUAGAGAGAGAGAGAGAGAGAGAGAAGAGGAAGAAGCUGUUCUUUUUAAGCGCUAUGGUCUACGAUUACAUAUUUAAAUCAAAUAUCUCAAUCAAUGUUUUUUUUUUUUUUUUAAAGAUAGAACAAAUGCGAGAAAGCGCGAUUUUUAAUCGGUAAAAGAUUGAUGUUAUUUUUUUUUCUGAUCCAAUCGUGCCUCCUUUUUUGUUCCAUUUUCUUACGUGAUAUUCGAUUCGUAUAUUUUCAGAUUUGAUUUUAAAUAUCUUUAAUUCCCGUUGUGAAACAUCAAAUCGUCAAAAUUCGAGGCACAUGCUUUGUUCUCAAUUCUUCUCGCGAAAGAAACUUUUAUUUGUAUUUUAUUUCUAUACCAAGAAAAUCUAGUGGUCAUGGAAUCAUGCAGCGAAAUUCGACGCCAUUUUCACUCGCUCUUCGAUAAUCAAUUUAUAAUAUUAAUAUAAUAGGUGUCGUUUUGCGUUCGAAUCGAUUCGUUUCAAAUUCGAGGCGACACUCUCUUCGAGAUCACCGAUAACGAGAAAAAAAAAAAAAAAGGAAGAUCGAAAGUUUGCUUUCUGCGUGGUUCUACGAUACACACACAUUUAUAUAUCGAAUGAUAAAAAAAAAAAAGACAUUUUCGAAAGGCUAGACCAUUGUUAAGGAAAGUACGAUUUUUACUUACGGUAGCAAGGAGAAGUUUCUCGUGAUCUAUUGAUUGUUUAAUUAUAAAUUCCAUAACGCAUCUCUGACGAGCCUGUCGAUGACAAUAUUUUUUAUCCUUCUUCCUGCUGCUGCUCGUGAAAGUCCAGCCGUACACCAGCGCGAUGCGCGACCAUGAAAAAUACAAUGUCUAUUUUUGUUUUUUUUUUUUUUUGUUUUCUAUUAAAUGGGACUAAUUUGACGGAAGAUUAAUCAUAGAGCUCGUAAAAAUGUGGUAUAAAGAAAGGAAACAGAGAGAUCAAAUGAGUUGCACAAAAUUUUUACACAUUAUAAUAAAACAAGUAUCCGUGUCAAUCUGAUGUGCGGCUAAAUUAUAAAAUGUAGGGGAAAUGGAUUGAACCGCGACUGCGGUACGUAAAAAAAAAAAAAAACGCACUGACUAUUUUAGCGAAUCGAGAUUCGACCAUGUACCUUGAUAUAUAUCUUGAGCGUGUUUCCAGGAAGUAUGUAUGCGUUGGUGAUUGCGAAAGGAAGCAAGAAUGUGAAUAUGUAUGUAUGCGCGUGUGUGUGUAUGUGAGCGUGCCAAAAGAAACGUUUGUGAGAUUAAGCAUGUGAGAGAAAGAGAGAGAGAGAAAGAGGAUAAAUAUAAAUAUAUAUAUUAAAUAUAUACGGUUGGAGGGAGAAUCCCUUCGCUCUUGAAAAAGAAGGAAAUGGACGCGUUUUAUCCAGAACAUGGUUAAAAUGAAGAUCGUUUAUUUUUACGAUCGUUCGAACAAAAUUCAUAAAGCAAAAGCAAAUUAAAUGAAAGAUGAAUAAUAAACUAUUGGGGAAAACGUGUCCGUUUGAUUUCUCGAUUUCUCGCAUGUGCAGAGCGGUUUAUGCACCGUUGCACGAUCAAUAAUAAAAGAAAAGCAAAACAACACACGAUCGAUGGCGUUUAAAAAUGUGUGCGUGCGUUGCUUGGACAAAGAUGUUAUGAACGAAAAGAGAUUGUGCCAUCGCUCGCACGUGCGUGACAAUAAUUUUUCCUACGUGUAACCGUUGUGCGUAAUAACUUUAGUUUUUUUUCUUCUCCCUUUUGUUUCAAGGCUCACCGCGGAGAGUAAUGUUUGCGCGGUAAAUAUGAAAUUCUGCAAGAUAGAAAUUUUCUAUUUUUCACGCAAAAAUGUGAAUGCACGACGCUUGUAUUUUGAGUCAAUUACUAAAUUAUCCGCGCUGCCAGAUGUUCAUUCCACUUUUAAUCGGCCAGUAGUGAAAGACGCGGCGCUGCCAUCUUGAUCCGUAGACCUAGUUUCCAUACUACACAGGUCAAUAAUAUAAUUAACAGUAAAUUUUAACUAUGUAGAAACGAAUUAAGUAAAUGCGUAUUAUAUAUAAUUUCAUGCUGUUUGAUCAAUUGACUGUAUAUUUUUAUUUUAUAAAUUUCAUAAUUUUAUCUAUGAUAAAUAUAAUUUUACUGCAUCAUAAAAAUCAAAUUUAAGUGCAAAUUAUAAUUUAAUAUAAUGAGAAACUGCUUUUAUAUCUGAGUUUCACUCAGCUGUACAUAUCAUAUAAUUGUACAAAUUAUACAUAUUAGUCUCUCUAUUACUUCUUCCGAAUAAAAUUUACAAGUGAAUAAAGAUUUUAAAGGAAGGAUGAUAGAUUGACUAUUUUAAUUUUUACUUAAAGAUUUUGGAGACUAGUACUUCGGAUCGGAAAAAAUUGUAAAUUAGUAGAUAUAUAUUUAUAUCAAAAUGGUCUUAAGAAAAUGACUUUUCUGUCACGCGCAGAUGUUUCUCCUCCGUCUAUCUGUCCUACAAACCACGUGGCAUUUCUUCUUCGAAUGGUUUCUCUUACUUUUGUUAUUUUUUUUUUUUUUUUUUUUUCUUCUCAUUUUAUAAGCUUAUAUUUUUACAUCAAGCAUCGCUGUACAGAGCAUUGUUCCGCGAAACUUUGGUCUGCUUAAAAACGAACGACGAUUUAGAAAUAUAAAAAGAUGCAAAAACGAACGAGGUAGACUUAUAGUGCACCGAAGGGCACUAUCCAUUCGAAGAAGCUUAUACUUCAGAACCAAUAGGUCUUUCAUUUUGUGCAUUUAUUAAGACAUAAUUUUCGUAUUGCCUUUUACUAUUAUCAUCCUCUUUAAUAACAAUAUUGAAAGUUUGUUUCGAUCCAAAAAAAAAAAAAGGAAAAAAAAAGAAAAAAGAAAGAAAAAGAUCAAGAACUAUAAGUGAAGUAAAUUAGCACAGUUCAAAACAAUGAAAAAAAAAAAAAGGAAGCAAAAGAAAAAGUUAAAGGACUAUCGAUAAUCAACCUAUUGUUUUCGAGAGUAUAGGCUUCGCGAAUCCGAUAAAGUUAUACAAAAAACAAAAAAAAAAAAAUACAGAAUGACAGAACUUUUGUUCUGUCCCAACGAAAUAGAGGCGACGAGUUUACCGUUAGGCAGUAAAUUAUAUAGAUGUAAUUAAGGUUUACUAAAACGCGAUAUUUGCAAUGAAAACAGUGAGAGAAACGAGGAGAAAGAUAAGAGCUGUCUGUAUCGUGGAAUGAUUGAAGGAUUAAAUAUUAAAGAUGACGAUGUGAUCCCAGGAAACGAUGCGAUUAUCGUUUUCCUUUUUGCGUCUCUUUGAUAAAACUCCGUCGCGGACAUGAUGCAAUUUGCUGUCAAGUUUUAGGGUAUAUAAGAAUAGAGUUAUAUAAUGUAUAUCUAUAAUUGUACGUAAAAAAACGCAAAAGCAGUACGUUUAAGGUUCGACUCGAGCGCAUACAUAAGAAAUAAUGUAUUAUAAAAUAUCAUAUUAAGGGUGCCCGUUUUGAGUGCAACAUUUUUUUUUUUUCUUGAGGAGGAUCAAUCGAUAAAAAGCGGGUCUAAGCGAAAGAAAGAAAAAAAAAAAAAACAAGAACAGAUUCGCGAACAAUUGUACAUAAUGCGUGAAUCGAAAUUCAUUCGCACGAGCCGUGAUGAGCUCGCGAAAGAGAAUAUUUUGUUAUAGUAAAAAAAAAAAAAAGAAUCGAUAACUGAGGCGAAGAAAAAGAAAAGUUCCAUUUUGGGAUACAGUGUGUGGCUGCUAUGCAUUUUCAAACGCACGUUUCGAGUUAUCGUAACGGUUCGAUCGAUAUAUGGAUCUUUCUGCGGCUUCGAGUUUGUAAAGAGAAGUGAAGAAGAGGAGGAAGAAGAACAAAUGAACGAAGAAGAAACAAAGGAAUGAAGAAGAAGGGUGGCAACGAAAAACGAGAUAUGAAUGCUGUCGUUACGCGCAAGAACGAGAUUUCAUUAUCAUUCCGAGGAGAUAGACUAGCUUGGUCACUUUCAUAAUUAAAAAAAAAAAAUAAAAAAAAAAAUAAAAAAAUAAAAAAAAAAACAACAUAUGUAUACCGAGAAAACAGUAUGUACAUUCCGGUUCAUAACAAAAUGAUCUUUCGAGAUCAUAUUAAAUUGCGCGUGCAUUAUUCACCGAUAAAUUAUUUUUACUAAAGAUAUAUGUACAGUUACAUAUAUCGAAGAGGAGAGAGAAUUUCGACUGGACGCAAUUCCCGUCGAAUUUUAAUUUCUUCAAAUGGAAUCAAAGGAAAUGAAGAGAGGACCAAGAAGAAGCAAGGAAGAAUAAGAACCGAGUCAAGGGGAUAACGGGAGAGCUAACGAUGGCGCGAUCGACGAGAAUGGAUUACGAUUAUCGAUUGGCCACCUUUCAACGCGCAUCCCGUUGUUUUCUUGGCGAAACAAUCGUCUCGUGUUUGCGCGUUCGACGUGGACUUAGGAUUGCGUGUGGGUUCGUAAAGAAAGAAGAAAUCAAAUGGAGGUUAUAUAUACACGGGGCAAAAUAUGUGGUCUCGUGUAAUAAAUAAGGAAAAGACUCGAAAUUUUUUCGAUGAUAUAAUAAAUAAUUUAAUAAUCGUCCACACAAUACGAAGUUCGACAGAGGAACAAUUAUUUUUUGCCGUUUUUUCUUCUAUCGAAAAAAAAAAAAAAAGGAACUUCUCGAAGUUUCCAUCGCUAGAACGAUGAACAACUGCGGCGUAGCGAGAUGAUUAUUUUAGAACGGCGAUGAUGAUGAUCCUCCGAAGAAGCAAAAAGGAACGUAACUAAGAGAGAGAGAGAGAGAGAGAGCAAGUACUUGGAGAAAUAAUAUGGCGAAGGAUGAUAUAUCCAAGUCGUACCUAAAGCGUAAUUGUUUAUAUAUCGUAAUUUUGGUACUGUUAUUCGAGUACGUAUACACGCGUUUUUUCGAAGAAAUUAUAAUAAGCGCGUGACCAAUGGAGGAGGAGAAGAGGAUGAAGAAACACGAAAAAGAUGCAAAGAAGCGAUUGUCGGCGAUAAUAAAAUUAAAAGAUGAAACAGAGUGAAAUGGCAGCACUGCGGAAUGGAAGAUUUAAUACGAGUAAAGGAGGAAAUAUAUAAUGUCUUUCAAAGUGAGAGUGAUUGGUGAUGAAGAAGUAAGAACCUCUGAGCGAGGUUGGAGCGGAUGUGAUGAGAGGAUUUCUAAAAAACCAUCAGAAAAAAAUGUCUUUUUGACAACAAAAAGCACCAAAAAAAAAAUCAAUAUAUAAAACCAGUGGAGUGUGUGUGAGAAACAGCGCGAGUGGGAAGGAUGAUUGAAAAUAAAAAUAAGGAAAUAUCAACAACGGAAAAGCUUAAUAAAGGGAUUUAGGAAUAGUAAGGAAACAUGAUAUCGGGAGAGAAAGUAAAUAUGGCUUUAAAAAUAUUGGUGUGCAAUAAUCGCCGAGAUAGCUCAAAGAUGAAUCAAGAAAACUUGAUGGAAAAAAAAAGAGAAGAUUCUUGGAUCUUCUUCCGUAUAUACAAAGACAAGGAUUGCAAGGAUCUUUUUUUGUAGCAUGGUAAAAACAAAUUUUUGAGGCGAUUCAUGAAAUAAAAAAAGUCAGACUUGAAAAUAUUUCAGUACAGCACAACUACUACACACGCGCAUACACAUACAUACAUACAUAUAUACAUAAUUCAUCCAUACACGUAUGUACAUAAGGAAAAAAAAACGAAAGAAGCAAACUAAGAGAUUUAAUCUUAGGAAAAAAUUUAUGUGAGUCACGUGCAAAAUUCAAAUUGAAUAAACACUGGACGCACAUGUUUACUAUUAUCAUCGCUGCUAUCUGUAUGUCACGAUAUAUUAACGGAAGUAAACGCAGAAGUGCGAAAACCUUGAAGGAACUGAAUGGAAAGGAAUACAUUCAGAAAGUGAGAAAAAAAAUUGAUGACCAAACGCCUGAAAAUUUUUUCAAUAAUUAAACUUGUACACCAUUUACCAUUUUUCAAAAAAUAUAUACAUACGUGUAUAUAAACACGCCAUAAUUAAAGUUUCUUUCAUAAUCAUCUAGAAUGUGAAUGGAUUUGCUCCUUUCAAGAAAAAACUAGAAGAAGAAGAAGAAGAAGAAAUAGAGCAACGAGAGAAAAUUUUUAAUGUUUUUUGGCAUCCUGUCUUUUUUCUACUUAUUCUUUUUUAUUUCUUUUUCCUUAAUAUUACGCUUUCACCAUCCUUCCUUUUCAUAACAAUGAAAACUACUGGCCGAAAAUGUAUGUCACAAAAAAGCAUUCAGCUUUAUUCGUAAAUACUUUUUGAUGAUAAUAUUAUCCCUGUUCCUGUCUUAUACUAUAUUUUACAUGUUGCUCAUAUCCCGUCCACAUUUUCACUUUACUAUCCUUUUUUUUUCUUUAGGGCCCUUCUCAGGGCCCGCAAAUGCCUCAUGUAUGGAGUAGCAAUUUCUCGGAUGAACUAAACAUGCACAAGAAAUCUGUCCUUUUCAGGACAAAAAUUUAAAACCGUCCUUUUCAAGGUGAAAAUAUAAAAUUGUUCAUUUUGGAAUUAAUUCUACAAGUUCUUUCCAGGAAAAAGAUUCUACGAAGUUUAAUACUUUUCAGGCUGAAAUAUUUCAAGUACCUGAAUUAUCAAUGUACCGUUCUGCAUUUUAUUGUCAGAUUGUUGGAUCCUUUUAUUCUGCUGUAUUGUUAGGUGUGACUUCAGUAUGUUUUUCCAACUAAGAUGGCGGAAGUCUAUUAUGUGCUUUCGAUGAAAUAAGAAGUAUAUUA
RNAcentral lists this long non-coding RNA (7523 nucleotides) under Apis florea (little honeybee). Its description in RNAcentral is "uncharacterized LOC105736131". Lineage: Eukaryota; Metazoa; Arthropoda; Insecta; Hymenoptera; Apidae. The record is from RNAcentral.